AGAGCACUGUACUAGGCACUUGGGAGGACAAUCCGAGUUGAUUCUCGGCGCUGAACUACAUCACCAAGGCUUGAACCCCAUUUUCAAAGAGAGACUCCAUCCGUCAUCAAUGCCUGCAGGGCUUCCCUCUCAUUCACGACUCUUGUUGUGGGUGCUUCAAUUGCAAUUUCAUUAUCACUCUAAUAAAGGAGCCACAGAAAAGUA
Long non-coding RNA from Ornithorhynchus anatinus (platypus), 204 nucleotides. RefSeq lists it as uncharacterized. The transcript has 2 exons. The record is from RefSeq and is a predicted model, not a curated record. Lineage: Eukaryota; Metazoa; Chordata; Mammalia; Monotremata; Ornithorhynchidae.